UAAUACAUGCAAGUCGAACGGAAGUUGGAUUUAUUCAGCUUUAGUGGCAAACGGGUGAGUAACGCGUGGGAAUCUACCCUUUGGUGGGGGACAACUGGGGGAAACCCCAGCUAAUACCGCAUAUUAUUGGCAACAAUGAAAGAUUUUAUUGCCAAAGGAUGAGCCCGCGUCAGAUUAGGUAGUUGGUAGGGUAAUGGCCUACCAAGCCUGUGAUCUGUAGCUGAUUUGAGAGAAUGAUCAGCCACACUGGGAUUGAGAUACGGCCCAGACUCC
RNAcentral lists this ribosomal RNA (273 nucleotides) under uncultured bacterium. RNAcentral describes it as "partial 16S ribosomal RNA". It matches the Rfam family "Bacterial small subunit ribosomal RNA", at positions 49 to 339 of the family's 1533-position model. The record is from RNAcentral.